UCCGUGUUAGCUCAGCUGGCAGUAGCAACUGACUGUUAAUCAGUAGGUCCCUGGUUCGAUCCCAGGACACGGAGCCA
Molecule: transfer RNA, 77 nt
Filed under: compost metagenome
Description: tRNA-Asn
Rfam family: tRNA
About the family: Transfer RNA (tRNA) molecules are approximately 80 nucleotides in length. Their secondary structure includes four short double-helical elements and three loops (D, anti-codon, and T loops).
Source: RNAcentral